AUGGGCCCGCGUUCGAUUAGCUAGUUGGUGAGGUAACGGCCCACCAAGGCGACGAUCGGUAGCCGGACUGAGAGGUCGAUCGGCCACAUUGGGACUGAGACACGGCCCAGACUCCUACGGGAGGCAGCAGUGGGGAAUAUUGCGCAAUGGGGGAAACCCUGACGCAGCGACGCCGCGUGAAGGAAGAAGGCUUUCGGGUUGUAAACUUCUUUGAUUGGGGACGAAGAAAGUGACGGUACCCAAAAAACAAGCCACGGCUAACUACGUGCCAGCAGCCGCGGUAAUACGUAGGUGGCGAGCGUUGUCCGGAAUUACUGGGUGUAAAGGGCGUGUAGGCGGGAAGGCAAGUCAGGUGUGAAAUACCAUGGCUCAACUGUGGGGGUGCAUCUGAAACUGUCUUUCUUGAGUGCUGGAGAGGGAAGUGGAAUUCCUAGUGUAGCGGUGAAAUGCGUAGAUAUUAGGAGGAACACCAGUGGCGAAGGCGGCUUCCUGGACAGUAACUGACGCUGAGGCGCGAAAGCGUGGGGAGCGAACAGGAUUAGAUACCCUGGUAGUCCACGCCGUAAACGAUGGAUACUAGGUGUAGGGGGUAUCGACCCCUUCUGUGCCGGAGUUAACACAAUAAGUAUCCCACCUGGGGAAUACGACCGCAAGGUUGAAACUCAAAGGAAUUGACGGGGGCCCGCACAAGCAGUGGAGUAUGUGGUUUAAUUCGAAGCAACGCGAAGAACCUUACCAGGGCUUGACAUCCCUUGACGACACUAGAGAUAGUGUUUUCCUUCGGGACAAGGAGACAGGUGGUGCAUGGUUGUCGUCAGCUCGUGUCGUGAGAUGUUGGGUUAAGUCCCGCAACGAGCGCAACCCCUGUUGUUAGUUGCCAGCACGUUAUGGUGGGCAC
This 898-nucleotide ribosomal RNA is filed under the name uncultured organism. RNAcentral's name for it is "bacterial SSU rRNA". It matches the Rfam family "Bacterial small subunit ribosomal RNA", at positions 225 to 1138 of the family's 1533-position model. The record is from RNAcentral.